UUUUAUAAACUUAAUACGUAUAUGGUAUACCCAUCACCCAAUCAUAUUUUAAACUAAAACAAUUCUUAACCUAAUAAGAACCUCAUGUCCUCACUUCUCAGUAGCAGUAGCGACUCAGCAAGGCAGCAACAGAAACACUGAACACCCAGAGCAACUCUGCGACGGCAAGAUCGCAGAUUGACUUGGCCUAGAUCGGACAUUACGAGAUUGGGAAAUAAGAAUCUCAGCCUUCAACGUGUCGCGGCGGCGUCGCCCUUGACCUCAGGCAACAUUAAGGUCGGCGAUGGAUUUUCAUUAUUUCUGUGUACUACAAUGAGGAGACAUAUUAUUAUGAGUUGCAUGGGUUGUCAUAACAAGGUCCAGGCCAAAAGCAGAAAUAUAGGUGAAACGUGGGGUAAGAAACCUCACUGACCCUCACUUCAGCAUAACAUAUCCAUCGUAUAUCGAGCACCUCAGCAAGUUGUUGGCACCUAGGUUUUCUACAAUUCAUUACAGUUAUUGAGCAACGUCGAAGUGAAAAUGAUGUGAGAAUUUAUUGAACAACUGCAACUAAAGGGAUUCAUUGCUUCUGAUCUCUAUGUCAUUAUAGAGGCCGCUAUAGUAAAGGUUGGCGAGAGUUCACAGCAUGCCGUUUUGGAUGGAAUUGGAGAUGAGCAUAUCGAAUCAAUACCAUUACAGUCUUAUCAAUGGUGUGUAGAGAACACAGGAGAUGGGUACAAUGAUUUGUAUUGGAUAUUUCUGCCCUUUGACUCCAUUGAGGAGGAAGAAGGGUACCAGGUAGUACAUGAAGGAGAGCAUUUAUCGUAUAAUGAGGUACAUGGGGGCAAAUCCUAAUAUGCAGAUGUUCACAGACUUGGGGACGAUGCAACCCAUAAUAUAGUUUGGCAUCAUAUGCAAAAUGUUGAAUCACUAGAGAGAAAAGGAAUAAUUCAUUUCUAUAAUGCUGUUGAAACAGACCUUUAUUAUAUGCAACCACUUCCUCUCCAAGAAGUAAAAAGUUAGUAGCUAAUAUAGUUGGACUUGUACCACCACUACAUGCUGUGUAAUAGUAGAAUAUGAGACCAGCAUAUUUGCAUGUGAUCUGCUAAAACUUGCAUGGGAAGAAAAGAAAUUAAAGAAAUUUAAAUUUUCUA
Molecule: long non-coding RNA, 1133 nt
Organism: Quercus robur (English oak)
Lineage: Eukaryota; Viridiplantae; Streptophyta; Magnoliopsida; Fagales; Fagaceae
Exons: 2
Source: RefSeq, a predicted model, not a curated record